GACGAACGCUGGCGGCGUGCUUAACACAUGCAAGUCGAACGGAAAGGCCCUGCUUGCAGGGUGCUCGAGUGGCGAACGGGUGAGUAACACGUGGGUGAUCUGCCCCUUACUUUGGGAUAAGCCUGGGAAACUGGGUCUAAUACUGGAUAGGACCAUGCUGUAGGUGGUGUGGUGGAAAGAUUAGUUUCGGUAAGGGAUGAGCUCGCGGCCUAUCAGCUUGUUGGUGGGGUAAUGGCCUACCAAGGCGUCGACGGGUAGCCGGCCUGAGAGGGUGGACGGCCACAUUGGGACUGAGAUACGGCCCAGACUCCUACGGGAGGCAGCAGUGGGGAAUAUUGCACAAUGGGCGCAAGCCUGAUGCAGCGACGCCGCGUGGGGGAUGACGGCCUUCGGGUUGUAAACUCCUUUCAGCCAUGACGAAGCCCUUGUGGUGACGGUAGUGGUAGAAGAAGCACUGGCUAACUACGUG
Molecule: ribosomal RNA, 469 nt
Filed under: uncultured bacterium
Lineage: Bacteria
Description: partial 16S ribosomal RNA
Rfam family: Bacterial small subunit ribosomal RNA
Source: RNAcentral